RNAcentral lists this ribosomal RNA (410 nucleotides) under uncultured bacterium. Its description in RNAcentral is "partial 16S ribosomal RNA". It matches the Rfam family "Bacterial small subunit ribosomal RNA", at positions 355 to 755 of the family's 1533-position model. The record is from RNAcentral.
UGGGGAAUUUUGGACAAUGGGGGAAACCCUGAUCCAGCCAUCCCGCGUGUGCGAUGAAGGCCUUCGGGUUGUAAAGCACUUUUGGCAGGAAAGAAAGCGUCGCGGGUUAAUACCCCGCGAAACUGACGGUACCUGCAGAAUAAGCACCGGCUAACUACGUGCCAGCAGCCGCGGUAAUACGUAGGGUGCAAGCGUUAAUCGGAAUUACUGGGCGUAAAGCGUGCGCAGGCGGUUCGGAAAGAAAGAUGUGAAAUCCCAGAGCUUAAUCUUUGGAACUGCAUUUUUGAACUACCGGGCUAGAGUGUGUCAGAGGAGGUGGAAUUCCGCGUGUAGCAGUGAAAUGCGUAGAUAUGCGGAGGAACACCGAUGGCGAGGGCAGCCUCCUGGGAUAACACUGACGCUCAUGCACG